UCCGCUGCUCCCGACUGGUCACACAGCAGGACCUUUGCCAGUAGAACAGUACGGUCAGCCUGUCCCUGUACACAGGGCUACUGUGAAGUCGCCUGUGCCUUGAGGCUGAGGGAGGCACAGCCCAGCUCAGAGUUCAGAAAGGCCGUGAGCAAUUAACCACAGCGCUACUUGAAAUCAGAGGAAGUCCCUGCUGCCAAGUCGAAACUCAGUCAGCAGAGAGCUCACCACAGCGUCUGUCAGGCAGACCACUGUCCUGCGGGGAGAGACCCUCAGUGCUCUCAGGUUGGAACAACUAAUGCCCAAGGUGGUGUGCAGAUCAUCCCCCAGCAGACCCAUAAAAACCAGCUCCCCACUCUUCGGGCCAGUUAAGGCUCCACCACUCGCUCACCAGGCCUUGCUGCUGCAGGCUUUCAAGGCACCGUCCACAGAAUCCUGCCAGCGGACACAGCGCACUGUUUAAGACACGCCCUUGGGACUGCCACUUUCAGAAUCGUGCAGAGGCAAAAGCACUUAACUCUUUUAAUCAAAGAUCUCACUACCAUUUUAGUUACGUAUCAACCCGUGGCUACCUGUUAAGUUCUGUCUCUAUUUCUCUUUGUAUAUAAAAACUCUAAAAUGGGAUUAGUCAGAAAAAAAAUAUUUUGGUAUAUUGUUUCCCUUGAAUGUGCACUAACUUCAGAUAGCUGGAAUUUUGUAAAAGGAAAUAAAAUAUUUCUCCCAUUAUAAA
This 727-nucleotide long non-coding RNA is filed under the name Rattus norvegicus (Norway rat). Its description in RNAcentral is "long non-coding RNA NONRATT011665". The record is from RNAcentral. Lineage: Eukaryota; Metazoa; Chordata; Mammalia; Rodentia; Muridae.